Non-coding RNA from Pelobates cultripes (western spadefoot toad), 264 nucleotides. The record is from the annotation of a GenBank genome assembly. Lineage: Eukaryota; Metazoa; Chordata; Amphibia; Anura; Pelobatidae.
GUGUGUGUGUCUGUAAGUAUGUGUGAGUGUCUGUAAGUGUAUGUGUGAGUGUGUAUGUGUUUCUCUGUGAGUGUGUGUGUCUGUAAGUGUAUGUGUGAGUGUUUGUGUCUGUAAAUGUGUGUUUAUCUGUAAGUGUAUGUGUGAGUGUGUGUGUGUGUGUGUGUGUGUGUUUGUCUGUGAGCAGAGUACUUGCAGAAUAGAAGAAAGAAGGAGUAGAGUACUUGUAAAAAAGGAGAAAGAAUGAAAAGGAAAACGAAAAGGAGA